RNAcentral lists this ribosomal RNA (451 nucleotides) under uncultured bacterium. RNAcentral's name for it is "bacterial SSU rRNA". It matches the Rfam family "Bacterial small subunit ribosomal RNA", at positions 35 to 482 of the family's 1533-position model. The record is from RNAcentral.
GCUGGCGGCGCGCUUAACACAUGCAAGUCGAACGCUUCGUUGUCCUUCGGGGCAGCGGGGAGUGGCGAACGGGUGCGUAACACGUGAGCGACCUGCCUUCAUCUGGGGGAUAACUGGGGGAAACCCCAGCUAAUACCGCAUGCGCCACGCUUCUACAUGGGGGUGUGGUCAAAGGCUUUGGCCGGGUGGAGAGGGGCUCGCGGCGUAUCAGCUGGUUGGUGAGGUAACGGCUCACCAAGGCGACGACGCGUAGCCGGUCUGAGAGGAUGAUCGGCCACAUUGGGACUGAGAUACGGCCCAGACUCCUACGGGAGGCAGCAGUGGGGAAUCUUGCGCAAUGGGCGAAAGCCUGACGCAGCGACGCCGCGUGAGGGAUGAAGGCCUUCGGGUUGUAAACCUCUGUCACCGGGGAAGAAACGCUGCAUUUUAAUAGAAUCAGCCUACUACCCGA